AUUGAACGCUGGCGGCAUGCCUUACACAUGCAAGUCGAACGGCAGCACGGGUGCUUGCACCUGGUGGCGAGUGGCGAACGGGUGAGUAAUACAUCGGAACAUGUCCUGUAGUGGGGGAUAGCCUGGCGAAAGCCGGAUUAAUACCGCAUACGAUCUACGGAUGAAAGCGGGGGACCUUCGGGCCUCGCGCUAUAGGGUUGGCCGAUGGCUGAUUAGCUAGUUGGUGGGGUAAAGGCCUACCAAGGCGACGAUCAGUAGCUGGUCUGAGAGGACGACCAGCCACACUGGGACUGAGACACGGCCCAGACUCCUACGGGAGGCAGCAGUGGGGAAUUUUGGACAAUGGGCGAAAGCCUGAUCCAGCAAUGCCGCGUGCGUGAAGAAGGCCUUCGGGUUGUAAAGCACUUUUGUCCGGAAAGAAAUCCUUGGCCCUAAUACGGUCGGGGGAUGACGGUACCGGAAGAAUAAGCACCGGCUAACUACGUG
RNAcentral lists this ribosomal RNA (486 nucleotides) under uncultured bacterium. Its description in RNAcentral is "partial 16S ribosomal RNA". It matches the Rfam family "Bacterial small subunit ribosomal RNA", at positions 30 to 507 of the family's 1533-position model. The record is from RNAcentral.